Molecule: long non-coding RNA, 1242 nt
Filed under: Gossypium barbadense (sea-island cotton)
Lineage: Eukaryota; Viridiplantae; Streptophyta; Magnoliopsida; Malvales; Malvaceae
Description: long non-coding RNA (GBAR_LNC001066)
Source: RNAcentral
GCCCCAUUUAAUCCCACUUCAAUCCUCUGUUUGGUUCAGGGUAUUGGCUAAUACCCGUCUAUUACAUUACACCCCUAAUCCCCAAAAUCCACCGAUUUCUAUUACGUUCCUCUUUCUCAGAUUAGGUGCUGCUUGAGUUUUAGACCCUGUUUUACCCUCCUGCUUCCCCUUUCCGUCUUCUGUUUCUUCCUUCUAUCUUUCUUUUGCUGAAGAUUACAAUAGAAUCGACGCUUGGCCUUCUCAACCUUUUAUUUUCGGAGUUUACUGCAACUGGAAAGGUAAAUCAUAUUUCUAACUCUUUUUUGCUCUCAAAUUUAUAUGGAUUCCUGUAUUUUAAUUAGCUUAAGUUCCGAGUAGAUUUCUAUUUCUUAAAGGUUUUUGUUGCUGGUGGAAAUUGGAACUCGAUUGCAAUGUAAAUUGUCUCGUUUUCUCUGUUUUAAUUAGCAAUGUAAAUUGCUUCAAAACCCAAGACUGAAAAACCAGCUACUCCUCGAACUACCACUCGACCCUCUGGGAUUUUUAAACUUACCCCUGUUUCUCCUACUUUGGCUCGAUUCCUUGGAGCCCUAGAGGCUUCCCGUUCCGAUGCUGUUAAGCAUAUCUGGAGCUAUAUCAAAUCCCAUAACCUUCAGGUUCUCUCCAUCUCUAUUGCGUCCUAUAUAAAGUUAUAUUGUUUGGUCUAAAUAAAUGUGGGCUUCAGUAAAUAUCUGGGAAAAUGUUGUUCAAUUUUGGUAGUUAAUUUGUACCAUUUAUUAAUGGUUCUUGUUGCGAGUUGUUUGCUUGAUGGCUUUAUGAGGUUUCUUUACCCUUUCCAUGGGCAUUUGUUCCCUCUAUAAUAUUUUUUUUGUGCUUGUUAAUGCUGGGGUUUGGACCUGUUUGGUGUUUAUUGUUCAAGAGUAGUUAAGCUAGCAGCUGUAGUAGGAUUAGUUCAUUAGGUAAAUAGUUCUCUGUGAUUGGAUUCAAUAAUUCAAUUAUAUCAUCAAUCAGUUCCGAGUGAAAUGUUUGCCGGAUUCUGUUUGUUCUAAAUUCAUUCCACAUUAUGUAUGUUUGAUCUAAAUUGUUAACCACUAUGGUCAAUAAUUGAUAAACAGGUUUUUUGUGAAGAAUUUGAACAGAGUUGUGUAUGCUUUUCAUUGCAGUUUCCUUUGUGGUAUUUGAGACUAGAUUGUUUUCACAUGAGCUAUUGGCAAUUUCGACUACACAGUCCGAUCUUAUCGCCUCACUCGUUAGUUUAUUUACUUG